CUGCCUAAUGAGUGCUCUGCUGAGCCUUGCUGCUGCCUGCUCUUUCUCAUUUUGGACCUUCUUUUGGAGAGAGCUCAUCUUCUGGUGUGUCCUCCUGUAGACUGGUCUUUCAAAACAGGCUUGAGAGAGGCAGCUGCAGUUCUAAAAUGGCUGUGUUGUAGUAGGCUGCAGCUAGUACUGCCUCACUGCUUUCCUCCAGCUGAUAUGCACACCAGAAAUGGGGAAAAGCAUUAAAACACACCUACACACAAAAACCUGUGGAUUGGAAGCAAACAGGAAAAUUGCUGCAUCUUCUUGGGAGAUACUGAAAUUAUGGGGACAUAUAGAUAAAUUACUAUAGGAUUGUCAGAGGAAGGUAAUAGUUGCUGUGUGCUUCGGUGGUUCGGAGGUUGGAAGGAUGCUUCAUGCAGCUGAUACGCUGGCUGCACUGUGCAUAGUGACAACUGAAAUACGGAUCCUGGGAUGCUGUGCUGGUAAUGUGGAUUAAUGUUAAACAUGCUCAAGGGCAGCGUGAGAAGAGAAGGCCUCUGCCCUGGUGCAAAUGUUUGCAGCUGAGCCCUUUCCUCAAAGUAUUUGCCCAAACAGCUCAUCAGACCUCUGUGCA
Long non-coding RNA from Neopsephotus bourkii (Bourke's parrot), 604 nucleotides. RefSeq lists it as uncharacterized. The transcript is spliced from 4 exons. Lineage: Eukaryota; Metazoa; Chordata; Aves; Psittaciformes; Psittacidae. The record is from RefSeq and is a predicted model, not a curated record.